GGCCACAUGGCGCAGUGGUUAGCGUCUGGCUACGCAUUGGUGUGGGAAAUCAAUGCGCGUGGGUUCGAAUCCCACUGUGGUCG
Molecule: transfer RNA, 83 nt
Filed under: Biscogniauxia mediterranea
Lineage: Eukaryota; Fungi; Ascomycota; Sordariomycetes; Xylariales; Xylariaceae
Description: tRNA-Pro
Rfam family: tRNA
About the family: Transfer RNA (tRNA) molecules are approximately 80 nucleotides in length. Their secondary structure includes four short double-helical elements and three loops (D, anti-codon, and T loops).
Source: RNAcentral